AACAUUGAGACACCAGUUCCCAUAUGAUCACUGAAGUUAAGCAACAUUGAACUUUGUCAGUACCUAAAUGAGUGACUGCUUGGGAGUACCAGGUGCUGUAAG
Non-coding RNA from Acanthosepion pharaonis, 102 nucleotides. Lineage: Eukaryota; Metazoa; Mollusca; Cephalopoda; Sepiida; Sepiidae. The record is from the annotation of a GenBank genome assembly.